Ochotona curzoniae (black-lipped pika) is the source of this 344-nucleotide long non-coding RNA. RefSeq lists it as uncharacterized. The transcript has 3 exons. Lineage: Eukaryota; Metazoa; Chordata; Mammalia; Lagomorpha; Ochotonidae. The record is from RefSeq and is a predicted model, not a curated record.
AGAAACAGAAGAAGGAAGAAAUGAAGAAAAGUAUUUCCCGCCUUGCCAAGUAGACGUUCGAUCAUGUUGUGUGUUGGAGAUUGCUGUUUAGACGGAGGGAGAGAACAUUGCUCCCCUGAAGUGCUGACAUAGGGGAGAUGGGCAGGAGCCUGCAGUAGAAAGCUUUAUUCUGCAAGGAUGCUGGUUUCCUGAUGAGGCUGUUAGAAGAAAAUUCAGUGCAAACGCUGAGAGGUGAGGAGGUUUGCCCAAGACACUGCUGUCAAGGGGAUUGUAGAGCAAACAUCUGGUAUUCCAGGCACAUGCUGCUUCCACCUUUUCAUCUGCAGGCAAGUAUAACUUGUAUA